Molecule: long non-coding RNA, 1157 nt
Filed under: Salvator merianae (Argentine black and white tegu)
Lineage: Eukaryota; Metazoa; Chordata; Lepidosauria; Squamata; Teiidae
Description: lncRNA (ENSSMRG00000005733.1)
Source: RNAcentral
UCCUAACCUGCUGUGAGUAUACAGUUGAUUUACUUCCAAUCUCAAGUGCGCAGCAACAAAAUCUUACUGUAAUUCUAAGUGAAAUUGAUCUGGGAUAAAUAUCACUCCACUUUCUGUUUUUCACACUUCUGUACUAGUAACGCUGAUGUUACCACUGUAGGAGCAGUGAUGAUUUAAAUAAUAUUCAUUUUGUGAUGUUCCUGUCCCGUUAGGAUGUUUAUGGCUCUAACUCUUUGAAUUAGAUUUAUAUAGAAAAACAAUAAAGGAUCAGUAAUUUUAAAAAGACGAUUAGAAUAGAAUUUAGUGAACAGAAAAAUGUAAAUCGAAGUCUUCAGUCUCACCCCUCCCAAAAUACCUUUUGCCCUUUCUGUACCUCCCCGUUUUUGACUACGUCACUAAAUCCCGCCCCCUUGCUACAGGUGACGGCCGUCAAUGCAACGGAGAAGGGGGCAGUGCGGCUAUUCUUCAUGCCCCCCAAAGUAGCCCGUCCUCCAGCCCCCGCCGCCGAUCACGCUUCCUGUCUGUGCCGUCGCGCCUCCCAAACCCCUUCCCUCACCCUCCUCUCUCCCUGUUGCUUUCCCCCGCCCCUUCUCUGCGGAAGGCCGGCGAGAAGCGGCCGCCCCGCGCAGUCAGUGUCACUGGAAGGGAAGCCCCGCCUCCCGGCUCCCUGCUGAGAGCUGCUGCUGGCUGGCUGGCGCCGCCGCCACGCAGGCCAGCUGAUCGCGCAGGCCGCGUCGUUCUGCGGUGUCCGCUGCAUCCCCGCCGCCAAGAGCAGCGGGAGGAGCCGAGGCGCCCGGCGCCGUGCAAUAGGCAACAGCGCCCAGGUGCUCUCCUCCCCGUCACCCCUCCCCUCCACUCCACCACCACACAUCGUCGCGCGCAGCUUCUCGAGAGCGAGAGCAGCAGCAGCAGCAGCCGCCGCCGCUGCACGCACGCGCCCGGCUCGUCAUCGCCUUCGUCGUUUCCAAGCCUUUCUGGGACUCGCGCGAGCUUCGUCUCGGUUGGGCCCCUCAGUCGAACCUCCUUCUCCUCCUUCUCCUGGCCCCCUCCUCCCCUCUCAGCAGCGCUNGGUAUCACGGACUGUCUGUCAUCACUCCCGUUUGGGGCGGCUGUACGUGUAAACAUCUCCUUCCAACCCUCCCCUUCGUUCACUUCGA